This 1172-nucleotide long non-coding RNA is filed under the name Monodelphis domestica (gray short-tailed opossum). RNAcentral describes it as "lncRNA (ENSMODG00000040406.1)". The record is from RNAcentral. Lineage: Eukaryota; Metazoa; Chordata; Mammalia; Didelphimorphia; Didelphidae.
CCCACCCCACCCCCAUGCUGGCUCGGCAGGCAUGCCAAUAGUUUGCCAUUAUUGGGCUCUUCUGGUUUUCUGGCUCUAACUCUAAUGGAACCUAUCUAUGCCUUAGUUAGGGCAGCUUGGUGGCCUGGAGUUAGGAAGACUCAUCUUCCUGGGUUCAAAUCUAGCCUGAGACAUUUACUGACUGUGUAACCCUGGGCAAGUCACUUCACUCUAUUGGCCUCAGUUUCCUCCUCUGUAAAAUGAGCCAGAGAAGGACAUGGCAAACCACUCUGGCGUCUCUGCCAAGAAAACCCCAAAUAGGAUCACGAAGAGUGAAAAUAUAACAACAAAACGCCUUAUUUCUUGACCUCAAAGAUUUAACCUUAUAGGAGCAUCCUUCAGACCCCAGACUUCCUUGGGAAGGAAUGGUGCCUCCAGAGACAGGCAACCAGUCUGCCUUCCCUUGUCUGUAGGACCAGCCUUCGCUUUGAACUCCUCUGGCUGAGAAGAGGCCUAUUCUCACGUCGGGAGCUCCCUCUAGCGGACAAACGCCAGCCUGACAUCGGGGAUAGAAACUGGUUCUUUCCUGCUCGAGAGCAGGACUUGGAGAAGAGCUCCUGAAAUGUCUUCAGAAGAUGCUGACGUGUCUCCGAGGGCUAUGGGAUGAGGGGGACGUGUAGCAAUCUCGAGGGAGAACUUGCCACAAGCGUGCCGGAUCUCAAGAGUUUCUCCAAAUGCCAAGCCCGUCUGGAAGGGUCGGAGCCGCGGCGCCCAGGCGGAGGGGCAGCAAGCAGGUGUCUGAGAGGGAUCCGAGACAUCCCCAGAAUGCCAAGGGAGUCAACGAUUCAAAACAGGGGAACACUCUGCCCCACCCAGGAGAAGCUGAUCACCAGAAAUCUCAUCACCAUGGAGAAUAAAUGAAUGGUGGAGAGCUGAGCAUUAAACUCCUUCUUCAAAGUCUUCCUUUAUAGAGGACUCACCAUCUUUCUAAUAACUCUAUUUUCCAUCAGCAACUCUGCAUGACUUUGACUCCAACUCCAAGAACACCAUGAGGAACACCAUGAAUUCUCACCAGGUACCUCCUGGUGGCCUUACCCUUACCUCCCUUCUCUGUUCAGCUUUCUUUUGUGUGCUAUCUUCUAAUGCAGAAGACACUUAAUAAAUGUUUAUUAAUUGAGUUAAAUUUGAGAUCU